AAUGAACGCUGGCGGCAGGCCUAACACAUGCAAGUCGAACGGGUCCUUCGGGACUAGUGGCGAACGGGUGAGUAACACGUGGGCAACCUGCCCCGGAGACUGGGAUAACGUCCCGAAAGGGACGCUAAUACCGGAUGACGCGCGAUCUGCCAAGUAGGUCGCGCCAAAUGGUAGCUUCGGCUUCUACUCUGGGAUGGGCCCGCGCCGGAUUAGCUUGUUGGUGGGGUAAUGGCUCACCAAGGCGACGAUCCGUAGCUGGUCUGAGAGGACGAUCAGCCACACUGGGACUGAGACACGGCCCAGACUCCUACGGGAGGCAG
This 320-nucleotide ribosomal RNA is filed under the name uncultured Actinomycetes bacterium. Its description in RNAcentral is "bacterial SSU rRNA". It matches the Rfam family "Bacterial small subunit ribosomal RNA", at positions 29 to 351 of the family's 1533-position model. The record is from RNAcentral. Lineage: Bacteria; Bacillati; Actinomycetota; Actinomycetes.